UACGGAGGGUGCGAGCGUUGUCCGGAAUCACUGGGCGUAAAGGGCGCGUAGGUGGCGCGGGCAGUCAACGGUGAAAGUUCGGGCUCAACCCUGAAUCGGCCGUCGAUACUCCCGUGCUUGAGCACUGUAGAGGCAGAUGGAAUUCCGGGUGUAGCGGUGGAAUGCGUAGAGAUCCGGAAGAACACCGGUGGCGAAGGCGGUCGCUGGGCAGUAGCUGACACUGAGGCGCGACAGCGUGGGGAGCAACA
RNAcentral lists this ribosomal RNA (248 nucleotides) under uncultured bacterium. RNAcentral describes it as "partial 16S ribosomal RNA". It matches the Rfam family "Bacterial small subunit ribosomal RNA", at positions 524 to 773 of the family's 1533-position model. The record is from RNAcentral.